GUUAUCAUGUCUUUAAGGGUAUUAUUUACUAAAAGCAGAAAGGGUGUAAUUAUUGAUUUUUUUUUUAAAGACACACUUAGAAUUUGAUGAAUGUAGAAUGAAAGCAAUGAAAGCAGAAUUAAAGUCAGUUAAUGCAGACAGUCACUCCAUUUGUGGAAACUUAUUACAGACAAUACACACAGGAUAGUAAAUAAAUUUGAAUGAAAAUGAGACAUUCAAGACAUUGUUCAGAAGAACAGCGU
This is a long non-coding RNA of Thalassophryne amazonica, 242 nucleotides long. RefSeq lists it as uncharacterized. The transcript is spliced from 3 exons. NCBI's taxonomy places the organism in Eukaryota, Metazoa, Chordata, Actinopteri, Batrachoidiformes, Batrachoididae. The record is from RefSeq and is a predicted model, not a curated record.